GUCAAGUGAAGAAGCGCAUACGGUGGAUGCCUUGGCAGUCAGAGGCGAUGAAAGACGUGGUAGCCUGCGAAAAGCUUCGGGGAGUCGGCAAACAGACUUUGAUCCGGAGAUCUCUGAAUGGGGGAACCCACCUAGGAUAACCUAGGUAUCUUGUACUGAAUCCAUAGGUGCAAGAGGCGAACCAGGGGAACUGAAACAUCUAAGUACCCUGAGGAAAAGAAAUCAACCGAGAUUCCCUUAGUAGUGGCGAGCGAACGGGGAUUAGCCCUUAAGCUUCAUUGAUUUUAGCGGAACGCUCUGGAAAGUGCGGCCAUAGUGGGUGAUAGCCCCGUACGCGAAAGGAUCUUUGAAGUGAAAUCAAGUAGGACGGAGCACGAGAAACUUUGUCUGAACAUGGGGGGACCAUCCUCCAAGGCUAAAUACUACUGACUGACCGAUAGUGAACCAGUACCGUGAGGGAAAGGCGAAAAGAACCCCGGAGAGGGGAGUGAAAUAGAACCUGAAACCGUAUGCGUACAAGCAGUGGGAGCCUACUUGUUAGGUGACUGCGUACCUUUUGUAUAAUGGGUCAGCGACUUAUAUUCAGUGGCAAGCUUAACCGUAUAGGGUAGGCGUAGCGAAAGCGAGUCUUAAUAGGGCGUUUAGUCGCUGGGUAUAGACCCGAAACCGGGCGAUCUAUCCAUGAGCAGGUUGAAGGUUAGGUAACACUGACUGGAGGACCGAACCCACUCCCGUUGAAAAGGUAGGGGAUGACUUGUGGAUCGGAGUGAAAGGCUAAUCAAGCUCGGAGAUAGCUGGUUCUCCUCGAAAGCUAUUUAGGUAGCGCCUCAUGUAUCACUCUGGGGGGUAGAGCACUGUUUCGGCUAGGGGGUCAUCCCGACUUACCAAACCGAUGCAAACUCCGAAUACCCAGAAGUGCCGAGCAUGGGAGACACACGGCGGGUGCUAACGUCCGUCGUGAAAAGGGAAACAACCCAGACCGCCAGCUAAGGUCCCAAAGUUGUGGUUAAGUGGUAAACGAUGUGGGAAGGCUUAGACAGCUAGGAGGUUGGCUUAGAAGCAGCCACCCUUUAAAGAAAGCGUAAUAGCUCACUAGUCGAGUCGGCCUGCGCGGAAGAUGUAACGGGGCUCAAACCACACACCGAAGCUGCGGGUGUCACGUAAGUGACGCGGUAGAGGAGCGUUCUGUAAGCCUGUGAAGGUGAGUUGAGAAGCUUGCUGGAGGUAUCAGAAGUGCGAAUGCUGACAUGAGUAACGACAAUGGGUGUGAAAAACACCCACGCCGAAAGACCAAGGGUUCCUGCGCAACGUUAAUCGACGCAGGGUUAGUCGGUUCCUAAGGCGAGGCUGAAAAGCGUAGUCGAUGGGAAACAGGUUAAUAUUCCUGUACUUCUGGUUACUGCGAUGGAGGGACGGAGAAGGCUAGGCCAGCUUGGCGUUGGUUGUCCAAGUUUAAGGUGGUAGGCUGAAAUCUUAGGUAAAUCCGGGGUUUCAAGGCCGAGAGCUGAUGACGAGUCGUCUUUUAGAUGACGAAGUGGUUGAUGCCAUGCUUCCAAGAAAAGCUUCUAAGCUUCAGGUAACCAGGAACCGUACCCCAAACCGACACAGGUGGUCGGGUAGAGAAUACCAAGGCGCUUGAGAGAACUCGGGUGAAGGAACUAGGCAAAAUGGCACCGUAACUUCGGGAGAAGGUGCGCCGGCUAGGGUGAAGGAUUUACUCCGUAAGCUCUGGCUGGUCGAAGAUACCAGGCCGCUGCGACUGUUUAUUAAAAACACAGCACUCUGCAAACACGAAAGUGGACGUAUAGGGUGUGACGCCUGCCCGGUGCCGGAAGGUUAAUUGAUGGGGUUAGCGCAAGCGAAGCUCUUGAUCGAAGCCCCGGUAAACGGCGGCCGUAACUAUAACGGUCCUAAGGUAGCGAAAUUCCUUGUCGGGUAAGUUCCGACCUGCACGAAUGGCGUAACGAUGGCGGCGCUGUCUCCACCCGAGACUCAGUGAAAUUGAAAUCGCUGUGAAGAUGCAGUGUAUCCGCGGCUAGACGGAAAGACCCCGUGAACCUUUACUGUAGCUUUGCACUGGACUUUGAGCCUGCUUGUGUAGGAUAGGUGGGAGGCUUUGAAGCGUGGACGCCAGUUCGCGUGGAGCCAUCCUUGAAAUACCACCCUGGCAUGCUUGAGGUUCUAACUCUGGUCCGUAAUCCGGAUCGAGGACAGUGUAUGGUGGGCAGUUUGACUGGGGCGGUCUCCUCCUAAAGAGUAACGGAGGAGUACGAAGGUGCGCUCAGACCGGUCGGAAAUCGGUCGCAGAGUAUAAAGGCAAAAGCGCGCUUGACUGCGAGACAGACACGUCGAGCAGGUACGAAAGUAGGUCUUAGUGAUCCGGUGGUUCUGUAUGGAAGGGCCAUCGCUCAACGGAUAAAAGGUACUCCGGGGAUAACAGGCUGAUACCGCCCAAGAGUUCAUAUCGACGGCGGUGUUUGGCACCUCGAUGUCGGCUCAUCACAUCCUGGGGCUGAAGCCGGUCCCAAGGGUAUGGCUGUUCGCCAUUUAAAGUGGUACGCGAGCUGGGUUUAGAACGUCGUGAGACAGUUCGGUCCCUAUCUGCCGUGGACGUUUGAGAUUUGAGAGGGGCUGCUCCUAGUACGAGAGGACCGGAGUGGACGAACCUCUGGUGUUCCGGUUGUCACGCCAGUGGCAUUGCCGGGUAGCUAUGUUCGGAAAAGAUAACCGCUGAAAGCAUCUAAGCGGGAAACUUGCCUCAAGAUGAGAUCUCACUGGGAACUUGAUUCCCCUGAAGGGCCGUCGAAGACUACGACGUUGAUAGGCUGGGUGUGUAAGCGUUGUGAGGCGUUGAGCUAACCAGUACUAAUUGCCCGUGAGGCUUGACC
Molecule: ribosomal RNA, 2888 nt
Filed under: Pseudomonas aeruginosa
Lineage: Bacteria; Pseudomonadati; Pseudomonadota; Gammaproteobacteria; Pseudomonadales; Pseudomonadaceae
Description: 23S ribosomal RNA from Pseudomonas aeruginosa (PDB 6SPD, chain A)
Rfam family: Bacterial large subunit ribosomal RNA
Source: RNAcentral